This 433-nucleotide ribosomal RNA is filed under the name uncultured bacterium. RNAcentral describes it as "partial 16S ribosomal RNA". It matches the Rfam family "Bacterial small subunit ribosomal RNA", at positions 29 to 507 of the family's 1533-position model. The record is from RNAcentral.
AACGAACGCUGGCGGCAUGCCUAACACAUGCAAGUCGAACGAGACCUUCGGGUCUAGUGGCGCACGGGUGCGUAACGCGGGGGAACCUGCCCUUAGGUUCGGAAUAACUCCCCGAAAGGGGUGCUAAUACCGGAUAAUUUCUUCGUACCAAAGAUUUCUCGCCUUUGGAUGGGCCCGCGUUGGAUUAGCUAGUUGGUAGGGUAAAAGCCUACCAAGGCGACGAUCCAUAGCUGGUCUGAGAGGAUGAUCAGCCACACUGGGACUGAGACACGGCCCAGACUCCUACGGGAGGCAGCAGUGGGGAAUAUUGGACAAUCGGCCAAAGCGUGAUCCAGCAAUGCCGCGUGAGUGAUGAAGGCCUUAGGGUUGUAAAGCUCUUUUACCCGGGAUGAUAAUGACAGUACCGGGAGAAUAAGCUCCGGCUAACUCCGUG